ACCGCUGAGCCACCUUCCCAGCCCUACAUUUAUAUUUUAUAAAUAGACAUGUAUGUGUGGGGCUGGGAAGGUGGCUCAGUGGU
Molecule: microRNA precursor, 83 nt
Filed under: Dipodomys ordii (Ord's kangaroo rat)
Lineage: Eukaryota; Metazoa; Chordata; Mammalia; Rodentia; Heteromyidae
Description: mir-3473 microRNA precursor family
Rfam family: mir-3473 microRNA precursor family
Source: Rfam by way of RNAcentral